RNAcentral lists this ribosomal RNA (266 nucleotides) under uncultured bacterium. Its description in RNAcentral is "partial 16S ribosomal RNA". It matches the Rfam family "Bacterial small subunit ribosomal RNA", at positions 524 to 789 of the family's 1533-position model. The record is from RNAcentral.
GACGAACCGUGCGAACGUUAUUCGGAAUCAUUGGGCUUAAAGAGCGCGUAGGCGGCAUCAUAAGUCAGGGGUGAAAUCCCAUCGGCUCAACCGUGGAAUAGCUUUUGAUACUGUGAUGCUCGAGGGAGAUAGGGGCAAGUGGAACUUCCGGUGGAGCGGUGAAAUGUGUUGAGAUCGGAAGGAACGCCAGUGGCGAAAGCGACUUGCUGGACCUCUUCUGACGCUGAGGCGCGAAAGCUAGGGUAGCGAACGGGAUUAGAAACCCG